Molecule: small nuclear RNA, 107 nt
Organism: Ursus americanus (American black bear)
Lineage: Eukaryota; Metazoa; Chordata; Mammalia; Carnivora; Ursidae
Source: Ensembl
GUGCUCGCUUCAGCAGCACAUAUACCAAAAUCAGACCAAUACAGAAAGGACUAGCAUGGCCCCUGCACAAGCAUGACAUGAAAAUUCAUGAAGUGUUCCAUAUUUUU